RNAcentral lists this ribosomal RNA (270 nucleotides) under uncultured bacterium. RNAcentral's name for it is "partial 16S ribosomal RNA". It matches the Rfam family "Bacterial small subunit ribosomal RNA", at positions 28 to 295 of the family's 1533-position model. The record is from RNAcentral.
GAUGAACGCUAGCGGCAAGCUUAAUACAUGCAAGUCGAGGGGCAGCACGGGAGCAAUCCUGGUGGCGACCGGCAAACGGGUGCGGAACACGUACGCAACCUUCCCAUAACUGGUGAAUAGCCUUUCGAAAGAGAGAUUAAUACACCGUAACAUAACGAAGAGGCAUCUCUUUGUUAUUAUAGUAGCAAUACGGUUUUGGAUGGGCGUGCGCCUGAUUAGGUAGUUGGCGGGGUAACGGCCCACCAAGCCUGCGAUCAGUAACUGGUGUGA